RNAcentral lists this transfer RNA (68 nucleotides) under Aeoliscus strigatus (razorfish). Its description in RNAcentral is "tRNA-Ser (AGY)". Lineage: Eukaryota; Metazoa; Chordata; Actinopteri; Syngnathiformes; Centriscidae. The record is from RNAcentral.
GAGAGAGGCCCGACGGCAACGAACACUGCUAAUUUUCGCCCCCUUGGUUAAACCCCUAGGCUCACUCG